Molecule: ribosomal RNA, 406 nt
Filed under: uncultured bacterium
Lineage: Bacteria
Description: partial 16S ribosomal RNA
Rfam family: Bacterial small subunit ribosomal RNA
Source: RNAcentral
GAUGAACGCUAGCUACAGGCUUAACACAUGCAAGUCGAGGGACCGGCGCACGCGUGAGUAACACGUAUCCAACCUGCCCUUUACUCGGGGAUAGCCUUUCGCAAGAAAGAUUAAUACCAGCUAUCACGAAUGGGGAUGCGUUCCAUUAGUUUGUUGGUUAGGACACGGCUCACCAAGCCUUCGAUGGAUAGGGGUUAUGAGAGGAAGGGCCCCCACAUUGGAACUGAGACACGGGACAAACUCCUACGGGACGCAGCAGUGAGGAAUAUUGGUCAAUCGGCGCUAGCCUGAAACAGCCAAGUAGCGUGAAGGAUGAAGGAUUAUGGGUCGUAAACUUCUUUUAUAUAAGAAUAUGUAUUAUAUGAAUAAGGAUCGGCUAACUCCGUGCCAGCCGCCGCGGUAAUAC